RNAcentral lists this unclassified non-coding RNA (332 nucleotides) under soil metagenome. RNAcentral's name for it is "partial contains 5.8S ribosomal RNA, internal transcribed spacer 2, and large subunit ribosomal RNA". The stretch from base 1 to 120 matches the Rfam family "5.8S ribosomal RNA", at positions 35 to 154 of the family's 154-position model. The record is from RNAcentral.
GAUGAAGAACGCAGCAAAAUGCGAUAAGUAAUGUGAAUUGCAGAAUUCAGUGAAUCAUCGAAUCUUUGAACGCACAUUGCGCCUGCCAGUAUUCUGGCGGGCAUGCCUGUUCGAGCGUCAUUUCAACCCUCAAGCACAGCUUGGUGUUGGGACUCGCGUUAAUUCGCGUUCCCCAAAUUGAUUGGCGGUCACGUCGAGCUUCCAUAGCGUAGUAGUAAAACCCUCGUUACUGGUAAUCGUCGCGGCCACGCCGUUAAACCCCAACUUCUGAAUGUUGACCUCGGAUCAGGUAGGAAUACCCGCUGAACUUAAGCAUAUCAAUAAGCGGAGGA